Centropristis striata (black sea bass) is the source of this 829-nucleotide long non-coding RNA. RefSeq lists it as uncharacterized. Lineage: Eukaryota; Metazoa; Chordata; Actinopteri; Perciformes; Serranidae. The transcript is spliced from 3 exons. The record is from RefSeq and is a predicted model, not a curated record.
CCUCGGGGUCCAAAGUGAGUUGUUUUUUUAUUGUACUAAAUCUGUUUGGUGUUGCUCAGCAACAGUAAAGAAAUGUGCAUGUUGUUGAUUAUAUGAUGAUUGUCAUGAUAUGUAACAUGUGAAUAUUCAUCUUGCUGAUUUUUUGUCCCCCUUUGCUAAAACAGCGAAUGAAUGGAGAGGAGAGAAAACAAAGUUAUUAGCGGAAAUGUCCAUUCUCAAGGAACGAAGGGACGAGUUAGAAGCCAAAAACACUGAACUCAAAGAUGACAGAGAUGACUGGCAGAAAAGGUUUUGUCGAGUGAGGCCGAAUAAUAGGAAUUGUCCGAAGCCUGAUGGUCCCUGAUGAAGAAAGUAACAAGUGGAUGUGACGUGGCUGACCACAGAGAAGUAGCAGCGUGUUACAUAUUUUACAUCAACCAAAUGAAGACUUUUUGUGUCAGAAGAAUAUACUGAAACAACAGCUUCCACACUAUGUUACUGCUCUGAUUACUUAUGUUGCAUUAGCUCAUUGGUCUUUCAAAUAAAUGUUUACAUAAUAUUGUUACAAAGGAGAGUUGGUUACUACCUGAUCGCCUGAAUCUCACACUGCAGCUUUAACUACAGCUUUGCUUUAUCAAAUAUCAUUACUAUUAAGUUCAGUGGCUAUGUACUGUUUGUUCUGAUUCAUGAUGUACAGUUACACCGCACAGAGGUCACAGUGAGCUUGUCGGCCUGUCUGGGUUUGUUUCUGUUGUGUAUUUUGCAGAAACUGUAAGUUUAGCAUGAAAAUGAUGUUGAAUAAUAACCAAACUUUGGUCCCAUGUUCUUUACAAUAAUACUUUAAUAAAUG